UGGGGAAUAUUGCGCAAUGGGCGAAAGCCUGACGCAGCAACGCCGCGUGCGGGAUGACGGCCUUCGGGUUGUAAACCGCUUUCAGCAGGGACGAAGGGUUUCUGACGGUACCUGCAGAAGAAGCACCGGCUAACUACGUGCCAGCAGCCGCGGUGAUACGUAGGGUGCGAGCGUUGUCCGGAAUUAUUGGGCGUAAAGAGCUUGUAGGCGGUCCGUUGCGUCGGAAGUGAAAACUCGGGGCUUAACCCCGAGCCUGCUUUCGAUACGGGCGGACUUGAGGGAUGUAGGGGAGAACGGAAUUCCUGGUGGAGCGGUGGAAUGCGCAGAUAUCAGGAGGAACACCAGUGGCGAAGGCGGUUCUCUGGACAUUUCCUGACGCUGAGAAGCGAAAGCGUGGGGAGCAAACAGG
This 409-nucleotide ribosomal RNA is filed under the name uncultured bacterium. RNAcentral describes it as "bacterial SSU rRNA". It matches the Rfam family "Bacterial small subunit ribosomal RNA", at positions 355 to 776 of the family's 1533-position model. The record is from RNAcentral.